Molecule: ribosomal RNA, 373 nt
Filed under: uncultured organism
Description: partial 16S ribosomal RNA
Rfam family: Bacterial small subunit ribosomal RNA
Source: RNAcentral
GUAAGUGGCAAGCGUUGUCCGGAAUUAUUGGGCGUAAAGCGCGCGCAGGUGGGUUCUUUAAGUCUGAUGUGAAAGCCCCCGGGCUCAACCGGGGAGGGUCAUUGGAAACUGGGGAACUUGAGUGCAGGAGAGGAAAGUGGAAUUCCACGUGUAGCGGUGAAAUGCGUAGAUAUGUGGAGGAACACCAGUGGCGAAGGCGACUUUCUGGCCUGUAACUGACACUGAGGCGCGAAAGCGUGGGGAGCAAACAGGAUUAGAUACCCUGGUAGUCCACGCCGUAAACGAUGAGUGCUAAGUGUUGGGGGGUUUCCGCCCCUCAGUGCUGCAGCUAACGCAUUAAGCACUCCGCCUGGGGAGUACGGUCGCAAGACUG